ACAGUCGGUCAAGGUCGUUCAAUCGGUGAUAAACACUGUUGCCAAAAUUUAGCGUUCUGUCAGCUCGCAACACAUCGCUAGAAAAUACGCCAUGAGGGAAAGUCAUUGUCGGAGUGAUGUACCACCUACUUCCCUGUUGUGUAUUUAACCCUGUGGCCUCCGUAGUUGUGCUCCCAGUACAUGCAGUAUAAAGCUGGAAGCCAUGACUGCCGGAACAAUACAAAAUCUCUCCAACCAACUGAGCUAGCUGGGCGGCUGGACCCAACCCACACACACUACUACACCCGACCAUCAUCAUAAUCAUCCAUUAACUUUUAAGGCAAAUGAAGGCCUUCCUGCCAUUUACCUCUGCCACCAUUUAAGUAAACCUAGGUGGAAAAGUGCCCCCAGUGUGAGGCUCAAAUCCACGACCGCUGGAACACAAGCACGACAAAGCCUGUGAUAGUUCAACAAUCGAAAAAAGCAUCCUGAAUACCUUAUGAGUUGGUGUUUACUACCAGAUACAGAGCCAAAGCUGCUUCACAUAUGUCGGAAAUCACGCAACUUUCUGAGGAUCAACACAAAUGAGGAAAAUUGAGGAAUUAUAUAUAUAUUGUAUACAAAAACUAUUGUGUCAUUACAAAGUGAAGGAUUUUGAAGAAAACUAUAAAAAGUGCUAAAAGAAAUUGAACAUGAUUGAUGUUUAUGUUAGUUUGAUUGCUUCAUCUGUAAGAUAUAAUCAAUGGAUGGAAUUGUACAUAACAAUGUCAUAGCAUAUUAAUUUGCAUCUCUAAAUUGAACAUGUUUCUUGCUGAAGGCAAAUAGUUAUAUGGAAUUCAGUUAACAACAGCUGGAUAAUGAUGACACUAUUUUGAACCCCCUUUUAAACAUCCUGUGUUUAUUUCAAUUUGAUUAAAUACAUUUAGACUCUGUUGUAGAUCUAUAUCUGUAGAAAUAAAAUGUA
Molecule: long non-coding RNA, 943 nt
Organism: Mya arenaria
Lineage: Eukaryota; Metazoa; Mollusca; Bivalvia; Myida; Myidae
Exons: 3
Source: RefSeq, a predicted model, not a curated record